This 497-nucleotide ribosomal RNA is filed under the name uncultured bacterium. RNAcentral's name for it is "partial 16S ribosomal RNA". It matches the Rfam family "Bacterial small subunit ribosomal RNA", at positions 28 to 507 of the family's 1533-position model. The record is from RNAcentral.
GAUGAACGCUGGCGGCGUGCCUAAUACAUGCCAGUCGAGCGAACGGACGAGAAGCUUGCUUCUCUGAUGUUAGCGGCGGACGGGUGAGUAACACGUGGAUAACCUACCUAUAAGACUGGGAUAACUUCGGGAAACCGGAGCUAAUACCGGAUGAUAUUUUGAACCGCAUGGUUCAAAAGUGAAAGACGGUCUUGCUGUCACUUAUAGAUGGAUCCGCGCUGCAUUAGCUAGUUGGUAAGGUAACGGCUUACCAAGGCAACGAUGCAUAGCCGACCUGAGAGGGUGAUCGGCCACACUGGAACUGAGACACGGUCCAGACUCCUACGGGAGGCAGCAGUAGGGAAUCUUCCGCAAUGGGCGAAAGCCUGACGGAGCAACGCCGCGUGAGUGAUGAAGGUCUUCGGAUCGUAAAACUCUGUUAUUAGUGAAGAACAUAUGUGUAAGUAACUGUGCACAUCUUGACGGUACCUAAUCAGAAAGCCACGGCUAACUACGUG